UGGCAAUUAUAAAAAUGUAGAUUCAGAGGGAAUUCCCUCUGUAGGAAAAAUUUGAAACUGAGAGGCUGUAUUAGCUCAGCCUAAACAAGAGGGUUAAGCAAUGUGUGUAUUCUCAGAAACAAACUCAAUUCCAGGACAUCCACUGAAGCUUUCCAUGUUUUAAGGUUUCCCUCUGUUCUGUGGUGAUUUCAGUGACCUUUCUUCCAGUGAUAAAACCAGACACGAGAAGGAAAUAUAAAUAUUCCACAUUGCAAUUUCGCACAUCCUAGGAGUGUCAGCAGUGCCAGCCUUUGCUGCUCCUCAGGUUGUUCUCUAAACUUCGGCUUUCUGCAGAAUUGGAUAGCAGAUAUUUCUGAUGAAAUGACUCAAUCCCAUGUGACUUUCAGUACUUUUCCACUUCCAGCUGGAAAAAACAAGCAGAAUACAAAGAGAGAAGAAUUGGCAUCUAAGAAAGUUGGUGUAGUCUUAAGGUCUUUUCCUUCAGCUGGGAAACUCACAAAAUUACAUACUGGGUUAUUAGUGCAGCAAGUCCAGCUUGAAUUGCAUGUUUGUUUUACUUGCUGUGGUGAUUCUGAACUUGAGGGCCUGAUCUCAACAACAGGAGUGCUCCUCCUGAUUUAGUAUAGGCAGGCUUCAGGUCACAUCCGAGAUAGACUGCGGUUAACAAACGAUGAUUUCUGAAGAAAUAUGAACAAGCAGGCACAAUCAGAGGAGGUGGAAAAUACAUUUACUGCAAGUAUUAUUGUUGUCUUGUUUCUUUUGAGGCAAUAUGCAACAUGAGAGAAAAUAUUUUAGAUUCUUAUGAGAGAUGAUUUCAGCAGAGCGUUUGAUAACAGUGGCAAGGAGAGCUGAAGGAAACGUAGUAACAACUUCUGUAAUGAGCAGUGUGCUCUAAGCUGGAUAAUUUUCGUUAAUGGAUUUAGAAAUCUGUUAGCAUGCACAGAACAGGCAAAAGCUGAGUGUCCUGUGACUCAGAUUUCAUCUUUACAGACAGGGAUUUCCAGGUUUGCACAGAGUCUAAAUGGUACUCAGCAGCUUCCAUCACAUUCCUUUGACAAGCAAGGUGCCGUGGUGUUGGAGCUGGAGCAGGGUUUAAAGGGGAUUUAAAGCAAAGUUUGUGAGCAGCAAGCCUUCGGCUGCCAAAUUAAGAGAGAGAAGGGAAGAAUUUCUGAGCAGCUUAUGAAAAUUGACCUUUGGUCUUGCUAUGCUCUGCAGGACCACUGUACCAGGUAUUUCCAGUUUAAAGCAAGUAUCGUUGAUGCCCACUAUAGCUUUAACUGCUUUCACUUCAGGAGAAGUUCACCUCUUGUCUAACUGUGAAUUCCAACAUGUUAUAAUAGGUUGAGGAUUUUUGAAUCUUUGUCUUUGUCAAAACCUCUGAACAGUAGAACAGUUCUUCCUUCCCAUCUACUCAGCCAAUAAACAGACAGAAACUGCAGAGUACAGGGCAAGGAAUGCUUUUUCUCAUGCAGGGAAUUGACUCCACUAGCGUGCCUCAGUGCGAGUGAGCAGCAUAUAGAAAGGGCCCUUUGGAGUAACAAAGGAUGGUCAUGCUGUUCAUCUUCCAUGCACAGCCAUCAGCCAGUCCCUUCAUCAGAAAUGAAGCAGAGUCAUUAUUCAACGAAGGAAUAGUUUUUUUGGGUUUGUUUCUUAAUUUUUGCUAAUUUUCAGCAGGGAGUUGGUAGAGCAGAGUAUUUCUGCGGUUGAUUUACUGUACUGUGAAUACUAGUGCAGAAACAAGGCAGAGUGUGCAGGGAAAAUUAAACCUGUUGUGUUAAAAAAUCCUAGAAAAAUUCUUGCCUUAGUAAAGUGAAGCUGAGAGGCUUAUGAAUCCUGUGGUGAAACUCAGAAAUUCUGACUCGGUGUCCUACAAAACCUCCCUGCUUUCCCUCUCUUAUUUACCCUAAGUUUGAUUACAGCUUUUUUAAGUUUGUAGCUGACCUACCCCUAUUGAACCUAAUUAUUUACAAAUAAAUAAUUGUGAUUCUUCAUGACGUUGGUUCUUACUGAUCUCCAUUUUACGUCCCAGUAACAAGGGGAAGAUAAUGAAGUGUAGCAGAGGAAAAAGAGUUAAGAACACUUCCCCAGUUUUCUACUGAUAGAUUUAUCCUGCCCUGAGGUAGGACCUUCAGUCACCUCUGUGACUGCUGAGGUAGCCAUUUUCUAACCUCUUUUUCAGCUUAGAAAUCCUUUACAAAGACAAGGAGGAAAAGACUAUGCUGGUGGUAACAUUUUCAUCAAGAUUUGUAUGUGAUUUGCUUUCCAUCUAGUGCUAUCCUUUUAAUAUUUUUGCUAAUUGUGAUACUGUAGUGAUGUUGCUGGUUCCAUGUUUCCUCUUGAGUUAAUUAAAUUAUGUUGACUCCUUUUUAAUUUUCAUGUAAUGAUUUUUCUUGGCUCACAAUGGAAGACUAGAUUUUUGCUUCUACCAGCUUUGACUUAUAACCACCUGUGAUGUGCAGGAGUUCCUGGCUGGCCUGUGGAUCCACAUUAAGCUGUCCUUAAUUUACACUUUUUAGUGCUCCCAAUGAAAGUAUGACAAAAAGGAAAGGUUGUAGUCUACAAGAAACCCCGUGAAAUCAGAACACAUCUGUUCAUUUUCCAGUCACUGCUCAGAAGUUAGCUAAUUAGCCUAACAAAUAUUGAUAGUUCUUUUGUUUGCAGAUGCAGCUCCAGUCUGUGAGUCCAAUGAUGCAUGAUCAGAAUGGUUGGCUUUUGGUUGCAGAGCAUGUAUUUCUGACCCAAACUUUUACCUGGAAGCUUUACUACCUGAUAUUCUUAUGGGCUUGCAGAAAAUGCAUGUAAAGGAGUGAAUGUUUGCAGUGUUCAUUCUUUUAUCACAUCAAGGCCAACUGCAGCACAGCAUGUAUCUUCUUACUGAAGGAUUCAGUAACAAAACAGCUUUAUUAUUAUUUUUUUCCUAAGAAGCCAGAUGAAGAGUGUUUUUCAGCUGUAAUUCUACUGGCAGUGGUUAGUGGCUUGAUGCUCAGCCUGAAAUGACUGUGUCACAACCUAAUUUCCAAUGUAUUUCCACAGUUUAGUAAAAUGUGUUCUGUAAUGCAUGACUGCAGAAAACUCCCUAGAUGCAUAUUUAUCAAGAAACUAGCCUGGACUGGAUUUCUGCUCACCACUAGCCAGAGAAGGGGAUUUAACUGCAUCUCUCUCUGCUCCAAUCAGAGUUCUUGUGGUCUUGUAAAAGCUGAUCUUUCUAGUCCUGCAGUCUUCCAUCCUCCUGUUAAGGUAAUAGGAGGGUUGCUUGCUGCAUGUGGCUUUAGAACAAAUCUCUUACUUCGAGCUGAAUAGAAAUAUUUAUGUUUAACUACAGUUGGUUGUACUUUUCAUAAGAGCACAAAUGCUUCUGUUCUAUCAUUUGCAAAUGGUUUUAAAAUAAAUAGGAAUGGUAAAUUUGUGAUGCAGUCCAUUAGGAAGUGCAUUUUCCUGUGAUAAUUUCACCCAUAUAAAUGAAUCAUUCUUCCUACAAAUGAGAAACCAAUAUGUUUGGCAAACAAGGCCUGAAUCUCUUUUAAGUUUUUAAGUUUUAAGUGUUGGACCAUGAGAUUCAUUGAUGUUGGCAGUAAUUGGAUCCAAUUCCCAUCAUUGCCAAAAUGUCUGCAUGGCACACUGUAGCAUCACUGUGCCAUCAGUCCCAAGGGUAAUAUAGGCAUACCAGUACAACUCUAUAUUUAUAUACACAGUUCUCCUGCCAAAACACUGCAUCAACAUAGCUGGUGCUGGUCUGCUGCUGUGUUGUACUGCAAUAUUCAGUGUAUUCCUAAGGCUUAUUCUUAACCAAUGCUUCUUGUGCCAGGAUCUGAAUGCAGUGGAUGCUAAAUCUCUUUACAAUUACUGCCCCACAUCCUGCCCCUUUACUCUUUGCUCCAGUAGGUUUGUCACUCAUUUCUUCAGGAUUGUGCCUACUGUGGAACUGAAGAGUCUGAAUCACCACUGAAUGCACUGGCAGUAAAUAAACCAUCCUAGUUGUCCUCCUCAUCCAUUUUUGGUUGCUGUAUUUGCAGAAUACGUUGCAUUAUACAUCCAUUUUCAGUGAGAUGUUCUGACGACAGAAAUUUUAAGAAGGAGAAUCCAAGUUAUUUGUUUUAAUAAAUAUCAUGAUGUCAUGCACUUCCCCAAACUCUUUCACUUCUCAGAACAAAUUAAUUGUUCAUUAAUCCAUUCUUGAUGAAACAGCAUUUGGAAGAGCAGUUUAUAUGUCUGCAUCUCACAUUAAGCAAAUAAUUCAUUUAUGCCAUUACACAGCAGCAUUGUGAUGGAGUAGCUAUCUGAUAACUGCUUACACUUAACUCAGGUAAACCAUCAAAAGAUUCCAGAUAUAAAUUUGAUUGCUAAAGCCAUUCACUGCUUCAAUAACUUGCAUAUCCCACAAACUUUGUGAUGAGUUCAUAAAUAUCAUAAAGGGUAAUAGGAAUGCAUUCUAAGAGUGCAUUAUUGCUAGCUGUAAGCCAGCUGCCCUCAGGCUGAUGACAUAUCAGUAUGCAGUAUGCUCUGUGAAGCAUAAGCAUUGUUUUACAUCUGGUAUUGUUGGUAUUAGUAUAAGGUGAUGCUGCAAAAGGUAGUUAGGAUUUGAGGUGGAGAGAAUGGAAAACAUUUGUCUUUGAUAAACCAAAUUAUUCUUGGAGCAAUUCUGAAUGUAAAACCAUAGCUUAGUCUUUAAGGACUAGUGUUCCCAAUAUCUCAACCAUCUACAUUUUAUAUCUUCUUCUAAGAAAGAGAAUAGGUAAGCUGAAUUUCUACUGAUACUAGUAUAACAGGGCCAGAAAAACUGUUUGCCAUGGCCAGCUAAACCAAAUACGGACAAUGUCCUGAUAUUGCUAGCAGAAUUGGGUACUGGAGACCAGCUGUCUGCAUAUGAUGGGAUAAUUUUCCCCUUGCAUUUUCUCAGAUCAUAUUGUGUUUUGUUAGUCUUAGAAAGCACUUGAGUUUUGUUUGGGUCCAGAUGUGAGUGAUGUGACUUACUCUUCAUUCCAUAUUCCCUUGACUUUUCUCAUGCUUCCUGUCUCUUUCCAAAGCCAAAGCCAAAAGUUCCAAAACAGAAACCUACGGGAAAAGCUUCCCUGGAAAUGUUUGUCUUGAACAGAAACAAGCAGCAAAAUACAUUUCCUGCAAAAUAAUUUUCUUACGGGAAAUGUAGCCUGUGUCCUACACCAAAUGGUCUGCCUAAGUGCAUAUUUUUAGAUAAGCUUUUCAAUUACAGAUUCUUACUGAAAGCACAGUAAGUGUCUUUCAGUUUCUCAUCUUCGAUUUCUUUUGAUCCCACUCGGCCUUGAGAAAUGUGUUCUCCCUUUACUUGAUUUCUUUCUUGAAAAGGGGUGGGUGGACCUGUGGUAAGUUAAGAUUGAAAAAGAUUUGAACAACACUGAUUAGCAAAGAGCUCAUGUAACCAUCUGUUGUAACUUCUAACUAAUAUCUAUAAGCAUACCAAGCCUCACAUAGUCCACAUCAGAUGAAAAGGUCUUUUCUUAAGCAUUUAGGAUGGAAUUCUUGCAGCUAAAGUUUGAACACUGGAAGAUUUGCUUUACAUCAACACCUGCUGUUCUGCCAUUACUGCAAGAAGGAAGCUGGAGCAAAUAGACUUUUCAGCUGUGACAUACAAUCCAUGUGUGGAUUAAACUGAGCAUGCAACUACAGCUGAGAAUUCCAGAGAAUCCUCCUUCCUCCACUCUGACAGUGCAAAGGAUGACUCUUCAACACUUCCUUCCUUGUUCUAAGAAAAUUCGAUUGAUCGUCAAAAGUGAUUUUGACAUCCUUCCAAUGUAUGUCUGGGCUCAUCUUUAAACUCUUCACUCCAACGUGACUUAAGCUGCCUGUGCAGAGAAGAAAAGUAACCUUAAGCAGGUUCUGCACUGGGAAGCAGAGAUAAGUUACACAGGGAAAGAAGUUCCACGCAGUACUAUGAAUUCAUCUGCUUAUCAUCUUCAGCAUUCCCAUCAAACUUUGUCACCGUUCUCUAGCCAGGAUGGAUCUAUAUGAAGCCAACAAUUCUGUGUGUUUGAAUUGUCCUGUUCAGCACAGUAAGGUACUUCUGGCUUUUAUAUUCAUUAAGGGUCUCUCUCUCCCUAUUGACUCUCUCUCCUCUACAUGCAUACCAUUUUCUGUGGGUUUCUUAACGAGUCAGGUUACAAAUGUGUGACUAGAAAUCAAAACUGCCCUUCAAUGAAAUGUAUAAUUAUUGCUUUUUCAUAGUGAAGAGUUCUUAAUAAGAUGCAGUGCAACAGUAAGUAAAAGCAAUGCAUCCAGUGUUCUGUAUGUUCAGUGUGUGAGACUCUUAAAGUAGAUCUUUCCAGCUGAAUCAGAAAAUAGAGAUAAGCUUCCCUGCUUAUUCAAGGUUCGUGUCUUUUUUUCCAUUUUGACAAAGAACCACAAAGGUAAAAUGUGACAAGGGAAAGGAGCACCACCUACUGGUCACAGAAUGAUACUGGGGAACGAGAAUGGCGUGAAAUUCUACCCGCCCGUUAAAAUGUACAGACCGUGCAAUUCUUGGCUGACUUGUUUGUAUAUAAGGAAAGAAAUUGUUCUGGAAAUGCAGUAACAGGGUGUUCUUCGUGGGCACUGCGGUGACUGAGAGGCGGGGGAUUUAGAAUGAUGUCUGAUGCAGCUGAAGGAGGGUGGUUCUGACUGUAUCAGAAGCAGUACUUUGAGAAUCUUUUGCCUGUUUGUCUCCCGUGGCUUUAAAAAAAGUAAAGAGUUUAGGAAAGAUUGUGGUUCCUGAUCUCCAAAGAAUUUAAAUAAAAAUAGGCCAAAACCAUUCACUGUUUGAAAUAGUGUACUCUUGUUUGCA
This is a long non-coding RNA of Phasianus colchicus (ring-necked pheasant), 6793 nucleotides long. RefSeq lists it as uncharacterized. The record is from RefSeq and is a predicted model, not a curated record. NCBI's taxonomy places the organism in Eukaryota, Metazoa, Chordata, Aves, Galliformes, Phasianidae.